Molecule: ribosomal RNA, 468 nt
Filed under: uncultured bacterium
Lineage: Bacteria
Description: partial 16S ribosomal RNA
Rfam family: Bacterial small subunit ribosomal RNA
Source: RNAcentral
GACGAACGCUGGCGGCGUGCUUAACACAUGCAAGUCGAACGGAAAGGCCCUGCUUUUGUGGGGUGCUCGAGUGGCGAACGGGUGAGUAACACGUGAGUAACCUGCCCUUGACUUUGGGAUAACUUCAGGAAACUGGGGCUAAUACCGGAUAGGAGCUCCUGCUGCAUGGUGGGGGUUGGAAAGUUUCGGCGGUUGGGGAUAGACUCGCGGCUUAUCAGCUUGUUGGUGGGGUAGUGGCUUACCAAGGCUUUGACGGGUAGCCGGCCUAAGAGGGUGACCGGCCACAUUGGGACUGAGAUACGGCCCAGACUCCUACGGGAGGCAGCAGUGGGGAAUAUUGCACAAUGGGCGGAAGCCUGAUGCAGCAACGCCGCGUGCGGGAUGACGGCCUUCGGGUUGUAAACCGCUUUCGCCUGUGACGAAGCGUGAGUGACGGUAAUGGGUAAAGAAGCACCGGCUAACUACGUG